Long non-coding RNA from Trifolium pratense (red clover), 390 nucleotides. RefSeq lists it as uncharacterized. NCBI's taxonomy places the organism in Eukaryota, Viridiplantae, Streptophyta, Magnoliopsida, Fabales, Fabaceae. The transcript is spliced from 4 exons. The record is from RefSeq and is a predicted model, not a curated record.
UAGGCGGUGAUUGCUGCUCCUGCGUUAGGCGGUGAUUGCUGCUCCUGCGUGUUGCUUGUGCUGUGCAGGGGCUGGUGUUGCUCUUUUUUGGUGUUGUCAUCUUUGUUUGAAGUUAGAAGGUUCAAUCACGGUCUCAUCUACAGUGUUUUUACGGUUGAUCAAAUGGCGAAUGGCAAUAGAAAGAACAAUACCGUAUGGCUUUAUCCACAAGCGAGGAAACAAUAUAAUUCAAAUGACUGUGGAUACUAUGUAAUGAAAAAUAUGUUGGACAUUGUCACUGCUAAGAUAACUGAUUCUUGGAUGGAGGUAUUUAAUGACCCAAAAGAGUUAACAGCUGAGGAGAUGUAUGAAUUGCGAUUACGUUGGUCAACAUAUUUUUUGGAGUUAUUA